CAGAGUUGCAAAACUCCUAAACCCACUGUGAAUUUAUCAAUAUUGUUGCUUUGGCAGGCGGUUCCAGGGAGGGACUAUAGCUUAACGGCGCCUGCCAGAGGACCAAAACUCUUGUUAAUUUACUGCAUCUCUGAGUAUCAAGACAAAUAAGUUA
RNAcentral lists this unclassified non-coding RNA (154 nucleotides) under uncultured Ascomycota. RNAcentral describes it as "sequence contains ITS1". The record is from RNAcentral. Lineage: Eukaryota; Fungi; Ascomycota.